GAACGCUGUAAAUGUUGGAAAGGCAGCCGGUGUGAACAGUGCAGUGAGGCGAGGGCCGCAUCGCCGCGCAGGACAUGCCCGCGCUCUUCAUCCUUGUCAAGUCUGGAUUGGCCUGACCCAGGGGACCCGAGGCGUGCAGAAUGCUGUCUGCCAAGGACCUCCGGUCGCUCCCUCAUCUUUGGCUUUGGGACGGCAUCUGAACGCUGGUCUUCAGCAGCAGAUAAACAUGGAAAUUAUCACCUCUUUUUCCUUGAAAUCCAAAAUAUGCAAAUGAGAAAAUGAGACCUGGAUCAAGUCCAAACAAAUGAGAGUCCUUGCCAAGCUCUUUGCCAUUACUGCAAAUGGAGAAAAGGCAGAGAGGACACCUCCUGGGGGAUUGGUUCUUUCCCAGCUCGCUUUUUAUGAAUCUUGAGCAUUCUAAUUCCACAAGAGGGAGGAAAGGAGAGAUCAGCGCCUAGCCUGAGGUUACUGGACAGAGGGGAGAUGAGAGCAGGCGGCCCUCCCUUUCCGCCCACCUACACUAUCUGCUGUACUCCAGCGGGCCUGCCUGUCAGAAGUAAGGGAUUCCUGGCCAACAUUUGGGGGAUGCUGGAGAGAGGUGCUGAAAUGAAAAUGAUCGUUCCUGCCUAUGACAACACUGUCCAAUACAUCUGGAUUUAUAACAUUCCCAAUGUGUGCCAAAACAUACCUUUUCUAAGGUAUUUUUUUGUGAGUGGAAAUAUGCAGGGGAAGAUAGAAAGCCCACUAGCAAAUCAAUGGUAUUUUGAUUAAAGUAAUUUUCAUAAAUACGACUGUUUUACGCAAGAGCUUCUAGGCAGGGACAAAGACCUGAAGUAAAUUUGGGGAGUUAGGUGGGGAUGACAGGCGCCCCUUGCUUUUGUAAAAUCAGAGAAGGGCAGCUGUGGCCUGUUCAAAAGCCACAGCACGAGUCCAACCCAAACCCCUGCAAAAGCAUACUCACGCCCACAGAAAAACGAGCGGCAGAUGCGUGGUCUCACUGCUGCCUCUUGAAUCUGGAUAGGUCCGACUGGCAGAGCCCAGUUCUCAUGCAGAACACGAGCUGUAACGGGGCUUGGCAGUUAUAGAUUCUUUGCCUCUUUCUCCUGGGUUUCCUGCUCCAAUGAAGGUACUGGCAUCUGCGGAAGACACCUGGACACCUGCUCUCGUCCUUCGUCCGUCCUCCUGUUACUGGACCAGGUCUGAGGAGGUUCUCAAAGCUGAGAUAAGGAACCUAAGCCACCAUAACAUAGAAUGGGCUUGAAGAUUUGCUGGCUCUCAUUGCAGAAAAAGGAUUUUCAGGACACAUCAGUGAGAGGCUUGGGAAGGGUUUAUUACACAGAAAUUUUAGUGCACACUCAGAGAAGUAGUGUGGGCCCUUAAGAAAGAAAGGCACUUUAUUUCCUGGAAUGGGGAAUAUUUAUGCUUCUCUUGAGGGGGUGGGAAGCUUCAAAGAGGCUACCCAGCCCCCAGAAGGGCAG
This is a long non-coding RNA of Heterocephalus glaber (naked mole-rat), 1478 nucleotides long. Lineage: Eukaryota; Metazoa; Chordata; Mammalia; Rodentia; Bathyergidae. The record is from Ensembl.